AACGAUAUCAUUUACAUAUUAUAUAAAUUCGAUGUAUUCAAAUAUCAAAUACAUUCAUACCUCUGCCUUGGCAAAGAAUAAUUUCCGAGUGAUGCGAUUGCAAUUACAGGAAUGCGUGAACAGUAAAGGAAUACUGUUCACUAUUUAUAGGCACAGGACACAGCCUGUGAGGAAUUACAACCAUGCCCCUCAUAAAAGUUUACAACAUUGACUCAAGCCCUUAUGGACUAAAAGGUCAUUCUAUCUUUAAGUCGGUUCGACCCUUCAUCUUCGGAUAUGUUGUAAUACCGAAGCUUCAUGAAUGGUGCCUUCGGCGUCACGUAUGAGCAGCUUCAGCCGAAGCUGUCUCCUUCUGCAGGACCUUCGGCGACGAAGCAUGGUCCCAAUAGGCACCUUCAUCAGCCAAACAAAGUACAUUCAAGACAUACUUAAGAAGUUUGGAAUGAAGGAUGACAAACCCAUCAAGACACCCAUGGGAACCAAUGGGCAUCUCGACCUCAACACGAGAGUUAAAUCCGUAGAUCAAAAGGUAUACCGGUCAAUGAUAGGAUCUUUACUCUACUUAUGUGCAUCUCGACCGAAUAUUAUGCUUUCUGCAUGCAUGUGUGCAAGAUUUUAGGCAAAUCCUAAGGAAGUUCACCUUAGGGCCAUGAAAAGAAUCAUGAGGUAUUUAGUUUACACUCCUAAGUUUGGGCUUUGGUACCCCAAGGGAUCUACCUUUGAUCUAAUUGGGUAUUCCGAUGCCGAUUGGGCAGGGUGUAAAAUUGAAAUAAAGAGCACAUCAGGGACUUGUCAGUUUUUGGGAAGAUCCCUAGUGUCAUGGGCUUCAAAGAAACAAAAUUUAGUAGCUCUUUCCACCGCCGAAGCCGAGUACAUUGCCACAGGUCAUUGUUGUGCGCAAUUACUUUGGAUGAGGCAAACCCUCAGGGACUAUGGCUACAAAUUGAGCAAAGUCCCUCUCCUAUGUGAUAAUGAGAGUGCAAUCCGCAUGGCGGAUAAUCCCGUUGAAUACAGCCGCACUAAGCACAUAGACAUCUGGUAUCACUUUCUGAGAGAUCACCAACAAAAAGGGGAUAUCGAAAUUGCUUAUGUUAACACCCACAACCAAUUAGACUAUAUCUUUACCAAGCCACUAGAUGAGAAAACCUUUAGCAAACUUAGGAAUGAGCUAAAUAUACUUGAUUCUCAGAAUUUUGAUUGAAACAUUGCGCACAUAGCUCUUUUAUAUACCUUUGAUCAUAUCUCUUUUAUUUGGUACAAUUGCAUAUUUCUUAUUCUUCUUGUGCCAAGACUAAAAAUAAUGUGUUAUCAAGUGUAUUUCUAUACUUAGUCUUAGAUUGAAAGGGAAUUGGAGGAUAUGGCAAAGACAAGGCUUCCACUCCAAACUCUAAUGAUAUCAUUUAACCUUUGCCGCUACUCCACAAACUCUCAAUGGUAUGAUAUUCACUCAUAUUUGUUUCACCAUUUGGGAGAAGGUAUUAGGCCCCAAAGGGGGAGAAAGCUGCAACAGGGCUCUCAAGUUCUCCGUUUUUGGCGCUUAAUGCCAAAGGGGGAGAAAAUAUUAAGCCCAAAGCAAAAGGACCGCAAGCCCAAAGCAAAAGGACCGCACCACCAUUUCAAUUUUUUCGAAAUAAAUUUCAAUUGGUGUAUUUUUAAUUGGUAUCUAGUUUUCAAUGUGAAAAUAAGAUUUCAAAUUGGUAUCUAUUUCAAAAACCCUCUUGAAAGCUAAUGGGAGAAUUUCUUCAGGGGGAGCAUUUAUGUAGUCAAAGGAAAAAACAUUUGAAAGACGGGGAGGAAUUUCAAAUCCUAAAAAUGCUUCUUGCAAUCAUAUUCCUAUACCUUUGACUAUUUGCAAAGUUUUUGAAAAGAUUUCUAAAAUAUUUGCAAAAACAAAACUAGUGGUGCAAAUGUGGUCCGAAAUAUUAAAUAAAAGAAAGCCAAUCCAUUCACUCUUAGUGACACUUUAAAUUGGUUCAAUUCUAAGUAACCUAUCACAAGUCAUCUCAAUUGCAAACUAGUUACAUUUCUGCCUUUACAUUUGCUUUGGUUUGUGUUGGCAUCAAUCACCAAAAAGGGGGAGAUCGAAAGGGAAAUUGGGUUAACCAUUCCCUAUAAUUAAUUUUGGUGGUUGACGACCAACGCAAACAUGUGGACUAAGUAGUUUGUCUAGAAUUCAUGUAUUAAAGGUGCAUAAGGUUCAACACAAACCAAGAAAGAAAUCAGUUAGAGACACAAUUUUAUUGGAGCAAAAAGAACUUGAGUGUGCUAAAAAAUGGCGCACCGGACUGUCCGGUGCACCAGGCCGUACAACUCCAAACCAUCCACUCUCGGGAAUUCCAGGGCGCGCUCCUCUAUAAUUCACCGGACUGUCCGGCGUGUCAGCGGAGCAACGACUCUCUGCGCCAACGACCGACUCUAUCAAGUGAACAGUGCAGCAUAGUGCCGCACAGAAGUCAGAGCAACAAAGUCAGAGGGGCACCGGACUGUCCGGUGCAGCAAGACGACAAAGGCUCCAAUGGUCGACCAGCUCCGAACCCUAACAGUUGCGCUGACGUGGUGCGCACCGGACAAUGCACAAUGGCUGUCCGGUGCGCCCAUCGCUAGCAGCCUUCACCAACGGCUAUGGAAGUGGUUGGGGGCUAUAAAUACCCCCAACCACCUCAUUCAUAUCCAUCCAAGCAUUCCAAACAUCUCAUUUAAUACAAGAGCAAAAGGCUCCACUCCAAGACACAUCAAAUAGAUCGAAUCCUCUCUAAGCCUCCAAAAUCAACUCAAUUCCAUUAGGGACUUGAGAGAGGGUGUUUUUGUGUUCUUUGUUGCUCUUGUUGCUUGGCUUGGCCUUUUUCUUUUCCCAUUCUUAUUCUCAAGUGCUUUGUAAGCGAAGCAAGAGACACCAAGUGUGUGGUGGUCCUUGCGGGGUCUUAGUGACCCGUGAGAUUAAGGAAGAAGGCCCACUUAGUCUAAGUGACCAUUUGAGAGAGGGAAAGGGUUGAAAUAGACCUGGUCUUUGUGACCUCCUCAACGGGGACUAGGUUCUUUGGAACCGAACCUCGGUUAAACAAAUCACUGUGUUCACUCGCCUUGAUUCUUGUUUGAUUUGUUUCCUCCUCUUCGGACUUGAAUUUAAUUCUAACGCUAACCCCCAAACUUAGUGUGUGUUUAAAGUUAUAAAUUUCAGGUUUUGCCUAUUCACCCCCCUCUAGGCGACUUUCAGUAUGCUAUCCUUUAGCAUAGAACAUUCAACCCUUAGGGGCCUGUGUUGAAUGCCAAGUGUUCCUCAACAAGGUCUCGAGUCCCAACAUGUAUGCAGACAAUAUUGAAGGUAGCCAUAACAGUCUGAGCUUUGAAAUCCAUAUAGCAAGUUGGCCUCUUAAGCCUGAAGGCAGGCUUAAUUAAACUCUUGAUAUCGUCCCUUUCUUUUAAGUUGUUCUUCACAUAGGACCAUUCCUUCGUGCAUAGCUUCAACCAGUUGCUACGACAGGCGAGGGAUGGAAAUUGUGCUUCUUUUCGAUAAGCAAAAUUAUAACAGCUGAAGUUAUUAUGAAGUCGCUCCUCACAAACUGCCUUCGUUUGAUAGUGUAACUCAUGAAUUUGACAAAAGCACUCCAUGCUUGGAUCUAUGUCUUGUCUUCGUACAUCCCAAGUGAAAAGCAUCAUCCUCAUGAUCGCAUCAGGGGUGAGCUGAUGCAAAUAAAUGUCAAACCGUUUCAGCACUCCUACCACCAUCUUGUAUAGUGGAAACCGAAGCCUAGCACUCAAAAAGCUUCGGAAUAUCACCACUUCAUCUUCCUUCAACAUCGUUGUAGUGUCCUCGCCCACAAGGCAGACCAGAUCAACGUCACUUAUGCAGUGCCUAUUCUUCCACACUUCAAUAUGCCCACUCUUGAUCGUUGAUUUCCUGAAGAUAACAUGGCUCUACUUCAUUGGACGAAUAUCUUCACUGUCAUCUUCAAUGUCCAAGUCCUUAUUGUCAUCUUUGGAUAUAUCCAUCUGUCGCACCAGCCAUACCCUCAACAACUUCAGUCAAAAGGCUGCUUUCUCCAUGCAUCAUCUCCUCAGCAGCACUCAAAGCUUUCACUAGGGCGAGGUCUGAAGCCACUUUCUCUCCCGCCAUCUCUACCAAAAUUUGAGGGUCACUCACAAGUUAGAAGCGCGACUAAAGGAAGAUGGUUCGAAGCAAGUUUUAGAUGCGGAGAAAAACUAGCAGCGAAGCAUAAAAGCGGUGAAUGUCAUGCCAAGCUGUGUGAGCCUUGCCUUCCUUUUAUACAAAAAGUUUCCUUACUCGACAACUCGCCCACAUUCACUCACUGCACGUUGGUCCCCACCAACCAAGAGUUCAAAGAUUGCCUUUCAUAACGAGCUCUAGGAAGCUGUUUUUGGACCUUCAGUGCAAGGCCUCCCAAUUACGUUUCGCGGCCUGAGGUCAUUAUAAAAAACAAACUAAUUCCACAAGGGGCUACUGUUGGUUGGCCUUUAUUACCGAAGGUCCUCAAAACUCUAUGUUAUCAAACUAAAACAUGUUUCAAAUACCUUACAAAAGGAUAACAAAGCUAACCUUCAUUGAAAGCAGCAUGUGAAAUAGAAUAGAAGCUAUGAAGCUUCAGCUUUGUAGGACUGUCGCAAAGACAUGAACCUAAGGAGGCAGCUUUGGUCGGCUUUGGUUCCACGGCCAUCAAUGCACGAAGAAAAAGUGGAGGAUAAGAAUCGGGAAUCUUGUUCAGCACCGAAUGGAAAGGAAAAAAUACGACACCACCCUUACAAGAUUUGUAGCUCAUAUGUAUAAGAUUUGUGGGUAUCUUUGUAAUUUCAUACGAAGCUGUACCUCGCCACUAUAAAUAGAGGUACAGUGCCAUGCAUAACCUCAUCUCUUUUCGGACACUAAGAGAACUGGAUCUCUAUGCCUUCGAAGCUUCCUUCUUCUAUCUUUGUGUUCUCCUUUGUAAGGUAAAAUGUAUUCUUUUAAUUAUUUAUGACAUGAAGAAAGGAAGAAUAAAAUGUGUAAAAAUGAAUUAUCCUGUCACGCCUUUAAUAAUGUCUCUCUAUCGUUUAUCCUUCCGUCCUUCGUCCUUUAGUUAAUUUCCUCAUAGAAGAUUAAUUGAAGGGUGAAAGGAAGAUUAUUUCAUUUGUGUUGCCUCAUUUUUGGUUUCACUCAGAAAUCAAAAGCGAGUGACCAACAUAUAGCUUCAAAUCUAUAAUAUUAAAGGUGGAACUAACCCUAAACUUCAGUGAAAACUCAAGUUUAUAUGUAUUAUCAUUUAUUCCUGUAAGGAAAAUGGACCCCAGGCCAUUUGGCUAAGUGAUUUUGGUGUUUUAUGAUCAACAUAACCUUGUGGACUAAUGUUUCCCAAGUGUUUGUGCUUUGUAGUUCACAUGAUGUGAUGUGGAUUGGACUGAGGCUUUGAGGAUGCAACACCUCAAAGAAUACAUUAUAAGACCCAUAGAAUACAUUACAAGGUCAUAUUUAAGACACUUUAUACAUGCUAAGAGUCCAACACAUCAAGAAAUAGAAGUGGGAUGCAAAGCCACAAAACAAAAGUGAAGUUCACAAAUUUGAGAAGAAGGGCUGACUGAAUUGGAAGUGUUUUAUAAUAUCAAAUCUAAUCAAACUGACAUGACUUCAACUCUUAGAUGUAGAGAAUUUUAUAAGCUUUCUAAAAAGUCGAAGAUCAUCAAAAUCGGAGUUCAGAGCUAAAAGUUAUACCCACAAUACAAAGUUAGAAGUGCCGAAAAACUGUAGCAGCACAGAAGCUGUUUCAUCGGACUGUUCGGUACGCCAAAUUUACUCAAAAUGAUGUCUUCAACUAUGGGACAUAUAGGAUUUCAUAAGAUUUCCAAAAAGUACAAGAUCAUCAAAAUCGGAGUUCGGAGCUAAAAGUUAUGGCCAAAAUACGACAAGCAAUCCUGUCCUACGUGGGCUAUAGGGUGCACACCAGACUGUCCGGUGCGCCAUCUUCGAAAGCUCCAACGACUACCUUUAACGGCUAGUACACGUGGCAUGUCCGGUGCACCUGUCCGGUACGCCACAGAAAGCUGCAGAACUACUUUCCAACUACUAUAUUCGAGUUGGGGCCUAUAUAUACUUCACCCAACCGACCAUUUAGUGGGAGCUCAAGCAACAUAGCAACACAUGCUAUAGACAUUUCCAAGUGCUCAAACACUCAAGUGCUUAAUAGAAUCACUCUAUGUUUUGCGUAGGUGCUUUGCGAAGUGCUUAGGUUAGUUAGAUCGCUUAUGCGCUUUCUCUAAGUGAAUCCUAGUUAGUUGAGUGAGUUUAGAAAAGCCCACAUAACCCCUCGGCUUUUGAGUGUAAUAUUGUACCGAGUGGAGUGAGAGUCUUGAUAGACCGUGACAACUGAGUUUGUGUCAUGGCCUCCACCGUGUACCGGAGGGAACGAGGCCCGCGGUGUUUUGGCCGGAAGCUCGAUAGUGGAGACGGUGGGAGCGUCCGAGAGGAGUCGGAAGCGGGGCACCACUUGCGCGUGUAGAAGAUCCGUGGUUCUCUACGAAGUUACUCGUCUGUGGUGCUUGGUCCUCGCGUGUGCUACCCUUUGCGUAGGGGUACAAACGAGGAUUAGUCGAGACCUUGCGUGGUUCUGGAUACCUCGGUAAAAAUACCGGCGUCGUCCAUGAGAGUUUGCUUUCUCUACUAGCUCUUUAUCUUCCGCAUUUACUCUCUCUACUUAAGUUGCAAUCUUUACUAGUGUUAGUGUAAAUUAUAUAGGAUUGAAACUUAGGUUGCAUAACUCCUUUUGCAGUAGAGAUAGCAAAACAUAGACAAAACCUAGUUUGCACAUUCUAGUUAACUUAUUUGCAUAUGUUUUGUUCUAGGGAUUACUUUGUGGUCUAGUUUAGAAAGAAGUUUUAGAAGUCCUAACUCACCCCCUCUUAGGUGUCACCGUUUCCUAUAAUUCGUCAAUUAUGUAAAAGGACCAACAACUCUUAGCAACAAUUUAGACCUAAUAAGCUCUAAAUACUAUAUUUUUUCAGGUGCAACCAAACCAAAUCACACAGUUCAAGUUUAACUUCCUUUUCUACCAUCACUAUCUGGAAUUCUAUACUUUUCAUUUAUUUUUUAAAUAUUUUCCUUAGUAGUUUGAUGCAAUUUAAAAAUAAACUCGGCAUGGUCUUUAGCAUCACUAUGUGUUCACUUAGUGGUACGUGAAGGCAAAGGAACAAUAGGAACAUGAGGGUUAAAUCCAUACACUACUUGGAAUGGACUUACCUUUCAAUAUCAUGGGAUAAAUCUUUAGUCUCAUGUGUUUGCACAUCUCUUGCUCAACCUUUGCUUGUUGCAUUAUUUGUAUAGAAUGUAUGUUUAUCUUGAAGAGACUCUUAAGGAUUGACUCUUGAAUGCAAAACUCUUUGAUGUGACU
This 7373-nucleotide long non-coding RNA is filed under the name Zea mays. Its description in RNAcentral is "long non-coding RNA (ZMAY_LNC002832)". The record is from RNAcentral. Lineage: Eukaryota; Viridiplantae; Streptophyta; Magnoliopsida; Poales; Poaceae.